GCCCUCUGUGCAUGCCAUGCUUAAUAAAGGCAAUAAAAAGGUGCUUCGUUCCAAGCCUCUAAACCCCAAACCUGGGCGGCACUGCUUCCUUCCUUGGAAAAGCAAUUACAUGGCAAGACAUUACGUUUCUUUCUAACCAGCUGACCAGAUUCAAGUUGGCCAAAAGAAGAGGUGAACUAUAGUCAUGGUUGUGAUCGUCUCGCUACUCACAACGGGGAAGCUGUCCACGUGGAUUGUAAACUCCGCGCUGCUGGGCCGUUUAUCUCUGCCACCACAACAGCCCGGGCCGCAAACAGGCGAGCCGUUCUCUGCCCGGCUCCUGGGCUCCCGCCGGGAGGGCACAAUUAAGACAGACCCUUGCCUUCUUGGCUGCCAAAGCAUUUCAGCUUCUGAAGAGCAUGGGAAGCAACGCCAUCAACCCCCCUGAGGAAAUAAAUAAAUAAAUUAAUUAAUUAAAUAAAUGCA
RNAcentral lists this long non-coding RNA (465 nucleotides) under Vulpes vulpes (red fox). RNAcentral's name for it is "lncRNA (ENSVVUG00000019958.1)". The record is from RNAcentral. Lineage: Eukaryota; Metazoa; Chordata; Mammalia; Carnivora; Canidae.